UUUUCAGACUCAGCCCGCCAGCACCCAGGUGAUUAAAAACUUUAUUGCUCACACAAAGCCUGUUUGGUGGUCUCUUCACAGGGACAUGCAUGAAAUUUGGUGCCAUGACUCGGAUCGGGGGACCUCCUUUGGGAGAUCAAUCCCCUGUCCUCCUGAUCUUUGCUCCAUGAGAAAGAUCCACCUACCACCUCAAGUCCUCAGACUGACCAGCCCAAGAAACAUCUCACCAAUUUCAAAUCCGGACCCCACUGAAAAUCAGACUGUUCAACUCACCUGGCAGCCACUCCCAGAGCCCCUGGAACUCUGGCCCAAGGCUCUCUGACUGACUCCUUCCCAGAUCUUCUCAGCUUAGCAGCUGAAGACUGACACUGCCCGAUCGCCUCAGAAGCCUAUAGGAACAUCACAGACGCUCUAGGUAACUCUCACAGUGGAAGACUCAGCCCACCUGCACCCAGGUGAAAUAAACAGCCAUGUUGCUCACACAAAGCCUGUUUGGUGGUCUCUUCACACGGACGUGCAUGAAACUACCUACACCCAUACGGAAGGGAACAAAUCAUGAAAAGUAAUGGAAUGCUACAGCCUAGUCAGUUUUGAGAAAAGGCUAACCAACAGCAACAACAACAGAUCAUAGUCAUGCUCAGAUUGCACAUGAACAAAAAAAUGUUGGAGAGAAACCAUUGAAAUAACUCACCGGUCCUCUUGUGUUGCUGCUUAUCUGAUUAUCUGAGGUC
Molecule: long non-coding RNA, 731 nt
Filed under: Pan troglodytes (chimpanzee)
Lineage: Eukaryota; Metazoa; Chordata; Mammalia; Primates; Hominidae
Description: lincRNA
Source: RNAcentral